RNAcentral lists this long non-coding RNA (284 nucleotides) under Vulpes vulpes (red fox). Its description in RNAcentral is "lncRNA (ENSVVUG00000000311.1)". Lineage: Eukaryota; Metazoa; Chordata; Mammalia; Carnivora; Canidae. The record is from RNAcentral.
GUGCUAUAGACAGCAACUGUGUGUAAGUUGUUGGCUCCAAUUCAGUAACUGCACAGAAGCCAAAUCCAUCCUGCUUCCUGUGGAGAGAGUAUCAGGAUAAAAGAAACUGCUGCUGCAGUUUCCUAGAGUCUGCAAAGAAACGACUGCUAUUCUUACGUAAAUGUGCAUGCAGCCAUCAGUCAGCGAGAGAACUCACUGGGGAAAGCUUAAACUGGUCCUAAACCUGGAAUAUAAGUUCAUGGAAGAUGAAGGCAGGAAAGGAGUAAGCAAAGAGUGGAUAUAGC